RNAcentral lists this ribosomal RNA (497 nucleotides) under uncultured bacterium. Its description in RNAcentral is "partial 16S ribosomal RNA". It matches the Rfam family "Bacterial small subunit ribosomal RNA", at positions 28 to 507 of the family's 1533-position model. The record is from RNAcentral.
GAUGAACGCUGGCGGCGUGCCUAAUACAUGCAAGUCGAGCGAACGGACGAGAAGCUUGCUUCUCUGAUGUUAGCGGCGGACGGGUGAGUAACACGUGGAUAACCUACCUAUAAGACUGGGAUAACUUCGGGAAACCGGAGCUAAUACCGGAUAAUAUUUUGAACCGCAUGGUUCAAAAGUGAAAGACGGUCUUGCUGUCACUUAUAGAUGGAUCCGCGCUGCAUUAGCUAGUUGGUAAGGUAACGGCUUACCAAGGCAACGAUGCAUAGCCGACCUGAGAGGGUGAUCGGCCACACUGGAACUGAGACACGGUCCAGACUCCUACGGGAGGCAGCAGUAGGGAAUCUUCCGCAAUGGGCGAAAGCCUGACGGAGCAACGCCGCGUGAGUGAUGAAGGACUUCGGAUCGUAAAACUCUGUUAUUAGGGAAGAACAAAUGUGUAAGUAACUGUGCACAUCUUGACGGUACCUAAUCAGAAAGCCACGGCUAACUACGUG